UACGUAGGGUGCGAGCGUUAAUCGGAAUUACUGGGCGUAAAGCGUGCGCAGGCGGUUCGUUGUGUCGGCGGGGAAAGCCCCGGGCUCAACCUGGGAAUGGCCGUUGAAACUGGCGAACUGGAGUGUGGCAGAGGGGGGUGGAAUUCCGCGUGUAGCAGUGAAAUGCGUAGAGAUGCGGAGGAACACCGAUGGCGAAGGCAGCCCCCUGGGCUAACACUGACGCUCAUGCACGAAAGCGUGGGGAGCAAACAGG
RNAcentral lists this ribosomal RNA (253 nucleotides) under uncultured bacterium. RNAcentral describes it as "partial 16S ribosomal RNA". It matches the Rfam family "Bacterial small subunit ribosomal RNA", at positions 524 to 776 of the family's 1533-position model. The record is from RNAcentral.